RNAcentral lists this ribosomal RNA (305 nucleotides) under uncultured bacterium. Its description in RNAcentral is "bacterial SSU rRNA". It matches the Rfam family "Bacterial small subunit ribosomal RNA", at positions 334 to 635 of the family's 1533-position model. The record is from RNAcentral.
UUGGCCUACGGGGGGCAGCAGUGAGGAAUAUUGGUCAAUGGGCGGAAGCCUGAACCAGCCAAGUCGCGUGAGGGAAGAAGGCCCUGCGGGUCGCAGACCUCUUUGGACGGGGAGCAAGGCCGCCGACGUGUCGGCGGAAGGAGAGUACCCGUAGAACAAGCAUCGGCUAACUCCGUGCCAGCAGCCGCGGUAAUACGGAGGAUGCGAGCGUUAUCCGGAUUUAUUGGGUUUAAAGGGUGCGUAGGCGGAUUGAUAAGUUAGAGGUGAAAUGUCCGAGCUUAACCCGGGAACUGCCUCUAAUACUG